UAGUGAUUGGUCACGUGAUGAGCGAAGAUGGAAGAUUUCGUAUCUCAUAUGGGGAUUAUGCACCAGCCAAGCAACUGCCAUUGAGUGGUGUUCAAGCAUGGACGAGAUAAUCAAGGAGGCGCUCUGACGUUGGCUAGCCACGGGUUGGAGAGGUUGUGGAUGAGAAAAUCGUAAGGGAGGACCACCCAUUGGGCUCGGAGGAGAGAGAUUCCCUGCACGCCGUCUCUUUGGAAUAUUAAUGGGCUUCUCCUGGGAAAACUGCCCACAGAAUAGGCCACUCCAUCGCUGUCUCUGUUUCCGCUCAGCUGUCCUGAGGGUACGUGAGUGUGUUCAGUACAAUCCGGUCU
This is a long non-coding RNA of Sinocyclocheilus grahami, 347 nucleotides long. RefSeq lists it as uncharacterized. NCBI's taxonomy places the organism in Eukaryota, Metazoa, Chordata, Actinopteri, Cypriniformes, Cyprinidae. The record is from RefSeq and is a predicted model, not a curated record. The transcript is spliced from 3 exons.